GAUGAACGCUGGCGGCGUGCCUAAUACAUGCAAGUCGAGCGAACAGACGAGGAGCUUGCUCCUCUGACGUUAGCGGCGGACGGGUGAGUAACACGUGGAUAACCUACCUAUAAGACUGGGAUAACUUCGGGAAACCGGAGCUAAUACCGGAUAAUAUAUUGAACCGCAUGGUUCAAUAGUGAAAGACGGUUUUGCUGUCACUUAUAGAUGUAUCCGCGCCGCAUUAGCUAGUUGGUAAGGUAACGGCUUACCAAGGCAACGAUGCGUAGCCGACCUGAGAGAGAGAUCGGCCACACUGGAACUGAGAAACAGUCCAGACUCCUACAGGAGGCAGCAGUAGGGUAUCUUCCGCAAUGGGCGAAAGCUUAGCGGAACAACGCCGCGUGAGUGAUGAAGGUCUUCGGAUCGUAAAACUCUGUUAUUAGGGAAGAACAAAUGUGUAAGUAACUAUGCACGUCUUGACGGUACCUAAUCAGAAAGCCACGGCUAACUACGUG
Molecule: ribosomal RNA, 497 nt
Filed under: uncultured bacterium
Lineage: Bacteria
Description: partial 16S ribosomal RNA
Rfam family: Bacterial small subunit ribosomal RNA
Source: RNAcentral